Molecule: long non-coding RNA, 596 nt
Organism: Scylla paramamosain (green mud crab)
Lineage: Eukaryota; Metazoa; Arthropoda; Malacostraca; Decapoda; Portunidae
Exons: 3
Source: RefSeq, a predicted model, not a curated record
GGUUGUGACUCGUGGCUGACGGAACUGCGCAGGGGCUUCCGACCGAAAGUGUGUUGACUAUACAGUAUAAUAGUUUACUCUUGUUUAUUAUGAACUUUUGGCACGUUUAGAAGAUAGCGGGUCCAACUUCAAACUUCAUCAGGGUGAAUGGACAGUUACAGAAGCCGUGAAUAUAGCGGCGGUGACGGGGAUUGAAGGCUGCAUCAUCGUACUCUGGCAGCUGUGUCCAAAACCCGUGCAUGCGAGAUGCAGGAGCCGUCGUCGCAAGUGAAGUGUCCUGGCGCGCAGGUGGUGAAAGCGAGGACCAGGCGGCCGCUCUCGUCCCCACAGUCACUUCUCCCAGCCACCACCCACGUCUUCCUUCCUAGGGGCAGCUCCCGUGGAUCCUCCGGUGUGAAGGACAGCACCACCUCGGGGCUACCAGAACGAGGAAGGAAGCUGCCGUCAAGAUCAUGACGGAGGUACUGUCCCUUUCUCACCGUCGGAGCCGUGCAGGAAGCCAGAGUCGUCAUCGUGGCCGUCUAUGUAGCUCGUCCAGCCCCGCGCAGGGUGAUAGGCGAGGCACAGGCUGGUCCACAGGCCGGGGUAGAUCACAG